Molecule: non-coding RNA, 675 nt
Organism: Camellia sinensis
Lineage: Eukaryota; Viridiplantae; Streptophyta; Magnoliopsida; Ericales; Theaceae
Source: RefSeq, a predicted model, not a curated record
AUAGUUUAUGAAUUGAGGCUUAAUUUCUUACUUAUUAUUUAUAAUUUUUUUCAUAAUCAAAUGCUUUUGUAUUAUUCUUUACAGGUGGAUGAUAUGUUAGAGGAAACAGUAAUAUUAGAUCUUUAUACUCAUUUUUUAUUUAAUCUACAUUCCUUAAUAUAAUUUUUCUUUUACCUUUCAAAUGCAUUUCUAUAUAUAAACAGGUUCAGUUUCCUCGAAACAGAAAGAUCAGUGUUAUGCUCCAUAAUGAAUAGGACUACAAUGUCCUCUGUGUUCAUGGGGAUUGGGUUGAAAAAGCUAUGGAGCUCAAGAGGAUAAAUAAGAGUACAUUACUCCGAUGGAAUUGUAAUAAGUACAUAGAAGUUAAUACAUGGACAUUUCAAAAUGUGAUGGAAAACAAGUUUGAAGGCGUCCAAGAGCUUUAGAGGCGUCCAAGUACUUUUUCUAAAGGCGUCUAAGUUUUUGUAGAGGCGUCCAAGUUUGAAGACAUUAUAUGGCAUACAUUUUGUAAAGUUGACAAAAAGUACUUUUGUAAAGCACUUUUAUUAAGCUUGAUGUUAACCACUUUUGUAAAGCUUCCUACUGAUAUGUAUUUUAAUAGAUUUCUAAUAUUUUUGUAAAGUCUCUUAUCAAUGUAAAAUAUUGGACUUUAUGGAUGGUAAUUGAGUGUGGACC